Picea glauca (white spruce) is the source of this 128-nucleotide non-coding RNA. Lineage: Eukaryota; Viridiplantae; Streptophyta; Pinopsida; Pinales; Pinaceae. The record is from Rfam.
ACAUGCCUACAACAUAGCGUUAAUGCAUCAAAUCCCAUUAGAACUCCACAGUUAAGCGCACUCGGGCUAGAGUAGCACUGGGAUGGGUGACUUCACCCAUCUCGAGAAGUCCUAGUAUUUUACAUGCC